RNAcentral lists this transfer RNA (74 nucleotides) under Bacteroidota bacterium. Its description in RNAcentral is "Bacteroidetes bacterium (sediment metagenome) tRNA-His". It matches the Rfam family "tRNA". From Rfam's summary of the family: Transfer RNA (tRNA) molecules are approximately 80 nucleotides in length. Lineage: Bacteria; Pseudomonadati; Bacteroidota. The record is from RNAcentral.
GAGGUUGUAGCUCAGUUGGUUAGAGCAUCAGAUUGUGGUUCUGAGGGUCGGGGGUUCGAGUCCCCUCAGCCUCC